Molecule: long non-coding RNA, 2321 nt
Organism: Homo sapiens (human)
Lineage: Eukaryota; Metazoa; Chordata; Mammalia; Primates; Hominidae
Gene: ACTG1P25
Product: actin gamma 1 pseudogene 25
Source: Ensembl
AGGCAGAGUCGGGCGUCCGCGUCCUCCCGGCCAGCUCGACCGUCUUCUCUAUUGGGGGCCCAUUCAGGACACAGGGGAGAAGGGAUGAUGUAUAAACCCAUGGAGUUGCUCACUCUCCUCUUACCUCCUUGAGGCAAGUCUCUGGUACUCAGGCUGGAGUGCGGUGGUGUGAUCUUGGCUCACUGUAAACUCAAGCUCCUGAACUCAAGCAAUUCUCCUGCCUUGGCCUCCCAAAGUGCUGGGAUUGCAGGUGUGAACUGCCACACCUGGCUCCCCGACUAUUCCUGUAUCAGAAAUGUAACUCACCCACUCACCACCAGCCCACACUCUGGGUUCUCCUAUCACUCCACUGCCUGCUCCUCGGCUGAUCACAAUGGAAGAAGAGAUCAUGGCACUUGUCAUUGACAAUGGCUCCAGCACAUGCAAAGCUGGCUUUGCUGGGUAUAGUUCCCCGAGCCAUGUUCCCCUCCAUCACUGGGUAUCCCUGGCACCAGGGCAUGAUGGUGGGCAUAGGCCAGAAGGACUCCUACCUGGGUGAUGAGGCCCAGAGCAAGUGCAGCAUCCUGACCCUGAAAGUGCCCCGUGGACCACCGCAUCAUCACCAACUGGGAUGACAUGGAGAAGAUCUGGCACCACACCUUCUACGAUUAGCUGCACGUGGCUCCCAAGGAGCACCCAGUGCUGCUGCCUGAGGCCCCGCUGAACCCCAGGGCCAACAGAAAGAAGAUGACUCGGAUUGAGACCUUCAACACCCCAGCAAGGUACACAGCCAUCCAGGCUGUGCUGUCCCUGUACACCUCUGGUUACACCACUGGUAUUAUCAUACACAGCUGAGACCCACACGGUGCCCGUCUACAAGGGCUAUGCCUUCCCCCAUGCCAUCCUGCGUCUGGAUGACUGGCACCUGACCAACCACCCCAUGGAGAUCUUCAGGGAGCCCAGCUACUGCUUCACCACCACAGCCAAACGGGAGAUCUUGUGCAACAUCAAGGAGAAGCUGCGGAAAUGGCCACCACAGCGUCCUCCUCCUCCCUGGAGAAGAUCUAGGAGCUGUCCAAGUGGUUCCAGUGUCUGGAGGCGCUGUUCCAGGCCUCCUUCCUGGGUAUGGAAUCUUGUGGCAUCCACCAGGCCACCUUCAACUCCAUAAAGUGUGAUGUGCACAUCCGCAAGGACCUGUUUGCCAACAUGGUGCUGUCUGGUGACACCCCCGUGUACCUGGGCAUCACCUACAUGAUGCAGAAGAUCACGACCCUGGUGCCCAGCUCCAAGAAGAUCAUCACCUUCCCUGAGCGCAAGUCCUUGUGUGGAUUGGCAGCACCAUCCUGGCCGCCUUCCAGCAGAUGUGGAUCAUCAAGCAGGAGUAGGAUGAAUCAAGCCCCUGCAUCACCCACUGCAAAUGCUUCUAAAUGGACUGCAAGCAGACGCGUGUCAUGUGCUUCAUGGAUUAAUGCAGAAGUAUAAAUUUGCCCCUGGCAAAUGCAUACACCUCAUGCUAGCCUCAAUAAACCAGAAUAAGCCUUUCAAAAGAACUGGUCCUUGAAGCUUGUAUAUCAGCACCGGAUUGUAGAACUUGGUGCUGAUUUUGACUUUGUUAACCGUUCCCUUGGUAUUUGUUUAAUACCCUGUACAUAUCUUUGAUUUAUACCCUUAGUACAUGUGGCUCAGUAACUUCAUGGCUGAGGUGAGGACAUGCUUGUGGGAGGGAAGUCUGUGGCUUGGUGGGUCUGUGUGACCUGCAGUCUCCUUAUCUGUGCAGGUACUAAGGUGUCAGAGAGCUCAGUGUUCCAGGAUUUUCCUUUUUUUUUUUUUUUUUUGAGACAGAGUUUCGCUCUAGUUGCCCACACUAGAGUGCAAUGGCGCAACCUCGGUUCACUACAACCUCCGCCUCCUGGGUCCAAGUGAUUCUCCUGCUUCAGCCUCCCAAGUAGCUGGGAUUACGGGCAUGCGCCACCACACCCGGCUAAUUUUGUAUUUUUAGUAGAGACAGGGUUUCUCCAUGUUGGUCAGGCUAGUCUCAAACUCCCGACCUUAGGUGAUGCACUGUGCCCAGCCAUUCCAGGAUUUUUCUAGAGCCUGGCAAGAGCUCCUGAACCAGUUUCAUUUCUGUCUUGCUGGUCUAUUAGUGUUAAGUCUUGAGCUAGAAGCGGUUUACAUUUACACCUGUAAAUUUAUUCAUUCUUUUAAUUUAUGUAAGUUUUUUGUACAUAAUUCUCAAUUUUUAAAGAGAUGACCACAAAUUUUGGUUUUCCACUGUUAUUUACAUAAGGAAAAAUAAAGUGCUGCAGUAAACCAAAAAAUAAAUAUAAUUCGCUCUAACCUCU